AUGGGUGUUCGCCCGCCGGCAGAAAUACCUUACGAGGUCCAAUCGAGGAAUUCCUCGGAGUCUUUGUUGUCUACGGAUCUGGAACCCACGGGAAUCAGAUUAGGUCUCUGCGCGGGUCCUCCAAUAAAAGGAUCGCCGUGUGUAACCCUAAACGAUCGUCAUCGUGUUUGGCUAAAACCUUCGACACCUAAAUCUCGUUCGUCUCUGUCGUCCCCUGCCAUGGCGCAUCUGCUGUCUGUUGCUGGUGAUCGGAGUGAUCAAGGCGGCGCUGCUGAGGCACCUACCCUCCCGAAGUCAUCUGGUGGCGGCGUUCUUGUGCGGGUGCGUGAAAACGAAAAGAGGCGGGUAGCGCCUGAAGCUUCUGAACCGCAUAGUGAUGCGACCAAUGAUAAUGGUGGGUUUGUGGAUAUGGAAGAUGUGGCAGCGGUGGAACUAGACUCUGAUGAUGAAUGGGAGGAAGAUGAGGCGCAGAAAAAGGAGUGGCACCUCCUUGCUGUCUAUCGUGAACCGAGGAAGCCUAACAUGAAGGCCAUGUUCAAACACUUUGAAGGUGUCUGGCAGUUGAGAACGGGGGUGACUGUAACCCCUUGGCAGAAGAAUUACUUUGUGGUUACCCUAUUCUCUGUGGGUGAUUACGAGUUUGUGGCCCGAGGUGGGCCGUGGAUCUAUGAAACUCACGCACUUCUAGUUGCGCCGUUCAAUGGGGAUGCUCGUCCUUCUGAAUCUGUGCUGGAUGCAGUCCCUGUGUGGGUUCAGAUCUAUGAUGUUCCAUGGAAGAAGCAGAACGAGGCUACUGGUAUUGCCUUGGGGUCUACGUUAGGGGAAGUGUUACAGGUUGAUGUACCCCCUACUGGAUCAAACCUUAAUGAAUUUCUAAGGGUACGCAUCAAGUUACCAUACAGUAGAAGGUUGCAGCACGAGAUCAUCCCAAUAAAGAAUGGCUGA
Molecule: ribosomal RNA, 945 nt
Filed under: Triticum aestivum (bread wheat)
Lineage: Eukaryota; Viridiplantae; Streptophyta; Magnoliopsida; Poales; Poaceae
Description: partial small subunit ribosomal RNA
Source: RNAcentral